UGUUAAAAAUUUCAUCCAUUUAUAUUGUUAAAAACUGGCAUGGCUGACAGAAUAACCAAACAGUAACACAUGAUAUGCCACAUAUACCUUGUGUUGACAUACAAAGACUAAUUUUUAACAAUAGAAAUACAUGUAAAUUUUAAAA
Molecule: non-coding RNA, 145 nt
Organism: Gossypium raimondii (Peruvian cotton)
Lineage: Eukaryota; Viridiplantae; Streptophyta; Magnoliopsida; Malvales; Malvaceae
Source: Rfam